ACCUGGCAUACAAUGUAGAAUUCUGUGUUUGUUAAGCAACAGCUACAUUGUCUGCUGGGUUUC
This 63-nucleotide microRNA precursor is filed under the name Chrysemys picta bellii (western painted turtle). RNAcentral's name for it is "Cpi-Mir-221-P2a_pre stem-loop". It matches the Rfam family "mir-221 microRNA precursor family", at positions 11 to 73 of the family's 84-position model. Lineage: Eukaryota; Metazoa; Chordata; Testudines; Emydidae. The record is from RNAcentral. RNAcentral also lists the same sequence under 1 other name.